This 285-nucleotide ribosomal RNA is filed under the name uncultured bacterium. RNAcentral's name for it is "partial 16S ribosomal RNA". It matches the Rfam family "Bacterial small subunit ribosomal RNA", at positions 542 to 826 of the family's 1533-position model. The record is from RNAcentral.
UAUCCGGAUUUACUGGGUGUAAAGGGAGCGCAGGCGGUGCGGCAAGUCUGAUGUGAAAGCCCGGGGCUCAACCCCGGUACUGCAUUGGAAACUGUCGUACUAGAGUGUCGGAGAGGUAAGUGGAAUUCCUAGUGUAGCGGUGAAAUGCGUAGAUAUUAGGAGGAACACCAGUGGCGAAGGCGGCUUACUGGACGAUAACUGACGCUGAGGCUCGAAAGCGUGGGGAGCAAACAGGAUUAGAUACCCUGGUAGUCCACGCUGUAAACGAUGAAUACUAGGUGUUGG